CCCAUUUUACUAGAUUAAUUAAGCACAAUCAAGAUGAAAUACACCCAAAAGAUAAUGGAUUGGGAAAAACUAGGAGCUGAAGAUCAUAAGAUAAGGAUCAAAGGAUAAACAAAAGUGACAACUUAAAAAUACAAAUCAUAACAAAAGCAACAGGGAUAGAAAAGACACCCCACCUUGACCAUAAAUUUUUAUUAUUUACAAUUCCAUGGGCUUUUCCAAUUUUCUCCCUCAAAACCCUUGAAAGGGAAAAGAGAGAAAAUGGGGAAGGGACCCCUUCUUAAAAGACAACUUGCUCAUUCAUCAUCAUCCAUUGUUAUUCUUCUCAAGCAUCAUCACCAUCUUUCUUCAAAUUAUCAAAUAAAUUAAAAACUAAAUUAAGCAUUGCUCCUGAAGGAUCCUAGAGCCUUAAUGGCUGCUGCUCUCAGAAUGUAUUGGUGGUAGAAAGCAGCAAUAGCGGCUCCAAUAAAAGGUCCAACCCAGAAGAU
This 485-nucleotide unclassified non-coding RNA is filed under the name Hevea brasiliensis (rubber tree). Lineage: Eukaryota; Viridiplantae; Streptophyta; Magnoliopsida; Malpighiales; Euphorbiaceae. The record is from RNAcentral.